Molecule: ribosomal RNA, 253 nt
Filed under: uncultured bacterium
Lineage: Bacteria
Description: partial 16S ribosomal RNA
Rfam family: Bacterial small subunit ribosomal RNA
Source: RNAcentral
UACGAACGGUCCAAACGUUAUUCGGAAUCACUGGGCUUAAAGCGUCCGUAGGCGGCUCGGAAAGUAGGGUGUGAAAUCCCACGGCUCAACCGUGGAACUGCGCCCUAAACUACCGAGCUUGAGGAAGAUAGAGGUAAGCGGAACUGAUGGUGGAGCGGUGAAAUGCGUUGAUAUCAUCAGGAACACCGGUGGCGAAGGCGGCUUACUGGGUCUUUUCUGACGCUGAGGGACGAAAGCUAGGGUAGCGAACGGG